RNAcentral lists this long non-coding RNA (1038 nucleotides) under Citrus sinensis (sweet orange). Its description in RNAcentral is "long non-coding RNA (CSIN_LNC004406)". Lineage: Eukaryota; Viridiplantae; Streptophyta; Magnoliopsida; Sapindales; Rutaceae. The record is from RNAcentral.
ACCAACAUCAUAAAUUUACAAACAAAAAAAAUCACAACAUAAGUCAAAUAUAAAAAAAAUAAUAUAAAUUCAAUUACACCACCAUUAAAAUUCACAAAUAAAAUUAAUGAAUUUAAUUUAAGUAAUUAAACAAAAAACCUAAUUAAAAUAAUUAAAGUAAGUCUGAAAUUAAAGUAAUUCAUAAAGUUAAGGAAGAUGAGAAACUACAUUUAUGCAUAAUAAUAAUUAUAAUAAUGGAGGAUGAUGAUAGAUAAUAAUUAUGAGAGGGACACCUCCACGAUCAAAUGAUUUAAUUGAUUGGUUCUGUAAAUGCAAUCCAUGGAAGCACAAAACGACACCAAAAAUGCCUCGUCUUGCUCACUGAAAAUUUGAAAUUGAUUUGCUGGAAAUUUGCGUGCCCACCUUUUGUAUUGGUCGGUCUACUUUGUCCUUCGACGUUGAGAUCUGGUGCCACAAACCAACCUUCUCUGAGAUUGGAUGAGUAUUCCCUUCUGGAAACAGCGGUCAAAGAUAGAAAGAAUAGACAAGGCAGCCGUGUGUGGUGUGCUUCGCCAGCCAUUGAUGCAGCGGGUUGCCGGCGUUCGAUGACAGCGAAAUGCACUAAGCAAGGCGAGGCACGGCAGCUGGUGUUCGACGACAGCAACGCGUGCUCAGCUCAGGCGAGGCAUCCAGCGUUCGAUGACAGCUAUUGCGAAGAGGACGGCGUUCAACGGUUAGGGAUUUGGGAUUGUUUUUCAGUUCAGUCGCUUGUGAGUGGUGGGGAGCAGGGGAGGCGUGAAUAAUUUAGGGUUACUCGAUUUGUUGUUUUUUUUUUCAAUUUUAAUUUAUAUAUUUUUUAAUACAAAUUUAUUAAUUUAAUAAUAUAAUUAAAAAUUAACCUGGAUCUAAAUAUUCAAUUUUCUGAAUACACUUGUAUUUGAAUCCAUACGGAUCAUGAUUCUUAAACUCCGGAUCCGUAUUUUUUAAUGUGCGGAUUCAGAUUUUUUCAAAUCCGAAUCUUCUAGAUUUUUGCAGAUCCGGGCCGGACCUAGAUUCUUU